This is a long non-coding RNA of Cyprinodon tularosa, 937 nucleotides long. RefSeq lists it as uncharacterized. The transcript is spliced from 3 exons. The record is from RefSeq and is a predicted model, not a curated record. NCBI's taxonomy places the organism in Eukaryota, Metazoa, Chordata, Actinopteri, Cyprinodontiformes, Cyprinodontidae.
AUUGUGCUCCCCACCACCACCUCUCUCUCAACCACCCCUGCUGCUUUGCUUAUCUCUCCCAUAUUCAAUUUAACUUGGACCCUGAUUAACGCUCCUCCAAUGAAGGGAGAAAGACACAAAGGAUAUUUUCCUCAUUCUGCAUCUCAUCCAUAGGGCUUCUUCAGCUAUUCAGCUCUCCUCCAUUUUUAAUGACUUCCUUAUCUCUGGACUACGGAGGAGAUUUGUUUGGGCUUUCAUGUGUGUUCGCCUGAGUAAAGCGGAGGCCCAGAACACUGUCGGAUUAGACAGAAGAAGACAGAGAGAGAAAGGAAUGGCCGUGACAUUCGCUCAGGUUUGCUGAAUAUACAAAACAUUUCAUUGAACAGAGAUGGAAAAAUUAUAAUAUUAUGAGAAAUGUGAAUCGACAGCUCCAUCCAACAGAUUUCUUGCCUCUGAUGGUUAAAGGUUGUCUACUUAAUCCCAUUUUCUCCAGCCCAUAUGAAACAGGACAUUAAACCAAAAAAUUUUUCCUGUUGAUCCCAGUAAUUUUCUGGCUGUAAUAGCAAUAAAAACAAUUAGGUAGUAUACAGUAAAUGAUACAACCUAUGUUGGAGCUAAAUCCCAUUUCAAGCCUUCUCCUCAUCCUAAGUCCUAAAUCUGUGUUCAUAAUGAGUUUGAAUAUUUUGUGUUUCUAUCUUCAACAAUUUCAGGGUUACAAUUGAAACAACGGAGUCAGGACAUUGCUAGUAGCCUGAAAUAAACAUUUCUCAUUCCAAAUAUUUGAAAGGUAAACAAAAUAAAAAAAGUCUUUCAUUUUAUCUUAAAUAAAAAUACUUUGCUCUAAAACAAUAAUUACAGUGUGUCGUGUGAUGUAUACCACUGCAUUUCUUUUAUAUCAUUUUAUUCAACCACUAAAGGAAAAAAAGAUUAUUUUUCUCUGCAGUGUCUUUUUUUUAAC